This 301-nucleotide ribosomal RNA is filed under the name uncultured bacterium. RNAcentral describes it as "partial 16S ribosomal RNA". It matches the Rfam family "Bacterial small subunit ribosomal RNA", at positions 509 to 809 of the family's 1533-position model. The record is from RNAcentral.
CAGCCGCCACGGUAAUACAGAGGGUGCGAGCGUUAAUCGGAUUUACUGGGCGUAAAGCGUGCGUAGGCGGCUUUUUAAGUCGGAUGUGAAAUCCCUGAGCUUAACUUAGGAAUUGCAUUCGAUACUGGGAAGCUAGAGUAUGGGAGAGGAUGGUAGAAUUCCAGGUGUAGCGGUGAAAUGCGUAGAGAUCUGGAGGAAUACCGAUGGCGAAGGCAGCCAUCUGGCCUAAUACUGACGCUGAGGUACGAAAGCAUGGGGAGCAAACAGGAUUAGAUACCCGUGUAGUCCCUGUCUCUUAUAU